UUUAGGUUGAGUAGCCAUCAAGCUAGAUUUAGGGUAAAGUAGCCCCAAGAACUCUAACUAAAAUUGAACUCUUUUUGUAGAGUCCACAAAAUUUCAAUAUCUACAAUUACAUAUAAAUCAAUAUCUAUCGGUUUAUAGACUAGAAUGCCCCCAUCCAAUUAGCGGACGGGUUGAGCUAACCUUCUCUUCACCUCUGCUGCUUG
Molecule: long non-coding RNA, 203 nt
Filed under: Capsicum annuum
Lineage: Eukaryota; Viridiplantae; Streptophyta; Magnoliopsida; Solanales; Solanaceae
Description: long non-coding RNA (CANN_LNC004706)
Source: RNAcentral